UAGGGAAUCUUCCGCAAUGGGCGAAAGCCUGACGGAGCAACGCCGCGUGAGUGAUGAAGGUCUUCGGAUCGUAAAACUCUGUUAUCAGGGAAGAACAAACGUGUAAGUAACUGUGCACGUCUUGACGGUACCUGAUCAGAAAGCCACGGCUAACUACGUGCCAGCAGCCGCGGUAAUACGUAGGUGGCAAGCGUUAUCCGGAAUUAUUGGGCGUAAAGCGCGCGUAGGCGGUUUUUUAAGUCUGAUGUGAAAGCCCACGGCUCAACCGUGGAGGGUCAUUGGAAACUGGAAAACUUGAGUGCAGAAGAGGAAAGUGGAAUUCCAUGUGUAGCGGUGAAAUGCGCAGAGAUAUGGAGGAACACCAGUGGCGAAGGCGACUUUCUGGUCUGUAACUGACGCUGAUGUGCGAAAGCGUGGGGAUCAAACA
RNAcentral lists this ribosomal RNA (427 nucleotides) under uncultured bacterium. RNAcentral describes it as "bacterial SSU rRNA". It matches the Rfam family "Bacterial small subunit ribosomal RNA", at positions 355 to 774 of the family's 1533-position model. The record is from RNAcentral.